UACGUAGGGGCGAGCGUUGUCCGGAAUUACUGGGCGUAAAGGGCGCGUAGGCGGCCUGUUAAGUUAGAUGUGAAAUCCCCGGGCUCAACUUGGGUGUUGCAUUUAAAACUGGCAGGCUUGAGUGCAGGAGAGGAAAGUGGAAUUCCUAGUGUAGCGGUGAAAUGCGUAGAUAUUAGGAGGAACACCAGUGGCGAAGGCGACUUUCUGGACUGUAACUGACGCUGAGGAGCGAGAGCGUGGGGAGCAAACAGGAUUAGAUACCCCGUAGUCCCUGAG
This 276-nucleotide ribosomal RNA is filed under the name uncultured prokaryote. RNAcentral describes it as "partial 16S ribosomal RNA". It matches the Rfam family "Bacterial small subunit ribosomal RNA", at positions 524 to 801 of the family's 1533-position model. The record is from RNAcentral.